Molecule: ribosomal RNA, 254 nt
Filed under: uncultured bacterium
Lineage: Bacteria
Description: partial 16S ribosomal RNA
Rfam family: Bacterial small subunit ribosomal RNA
Source: RNAcentral
UACGUAGGGGGCAAGCGUUGUCCGGAUUUAUUGGGCGUAAAGAGCUCGUAGGCGGUUUGGUAAGUCUGGUGUGAAAUCUCCACGCUCAACGUGGAGGGGCCACCCGAUACUGCCAUGACUGGAGUCCGGUAGAGGAGUGUGGAAUUCCCGGUGUAGCGGUGAAAUGCGCAGAUAUCGGGAGGAACACCCGUAGCGAAGGCGACUACCUGGCCCAUUCUUGACGCUGAGGCGCGAAAGCUAGGGGAGCGAACGGG